AGUGAGAGAAGCUCUCACCUCUCUCUAGAAUUUUCUGGAAAAUCAGAAGAUGAUCUUCAUCUUCUCUGGCGAGCUUCACCGCUCCGGUGUGGUGGUUUGCCGGCCCAACAGGGCGGCGCCGCCGCACCGGAGAUGAGAAACUUCUCCGUUUUCAAAUUUUUUUACAGAUUAAGAUAUCAUUUUUUAUUUUAAACACGAAUCUGAAC
RNAcentral lists this long non-coding RNA (206 nucleotides) under Medicago truncatula (barrel medic). RNAcentral's name for it is "long non-coding RNA (MTRU_LNC003383)". Lineage: Eukaryota; Viridiplantae; Streptophyta; Magnoliopsida; Fabales; Fabaceae. The record is from RNAcentral.